This 30-nucleotide non-coding RNA is filed under the name Mus musculus (house mouse). The record is from RNAcentral. Lineage: Eukaryota; Metazoa; Chordata; Mammalia; Rodentia; Muridae.
UAUCUGCUUCAUAAAUAUGUACCGUAUAUC